This 377-nucleotide ribosomal RNA is filed under the name uncultured eukaryote. Its description in RNAcentral is "partial 18S ribosomal RNA". It matches the Rfam family "Eukaryotic small subunit ribosomal RNA", at positions 592 to 976 of the family's 1831-position model. The record is from RNAcentral.
CAAUAGCGUAUAUUUAAGUUGCUGCAGUUAAAAAGCUCGUAGUUGGAUUUCGGGUGGGAAUGGCCGGUCCGCCGUUUCGGUGUGCACUUGCUACGCCCACCUUGCUGCUGGGGACGUGCUCUUGAGUUCACGCUCGGGACACGGAGUCGGCGAGGUUACUUUGAGUAAAUUAGAGUGUUCAAAGCAGGCCUACGCUCUGAAUACAUUAGCAUGGAAUAACACGAUAGGACUCUGGCCUAUCUUGUUGGUCUGUAGGACCGGAGUAAUGAUUAAGAGGGACAGUCGGGGGCAUUCGUAUUUCAUUGUCAGAGGUGAAAUUCUUGGAUUUAUGAAAGACGAACUACUGCGAAAGCAUUUGCCAAGGAUGUUUUCAUUAA